This 504-nucleotide ribosomal RNA is filed under the name uncultured bacterium. RNAcentral describes it as "partial 16S ribosomal RNA". It matches the Rfam family "Bacterial small subunit ribosomal RNA", at positions 28 to 522 of the family's 1533-position model. The record is from RNAcentral.
GAUGAACGCUAGCUACAGGCUUAACACAUGCAAGUCGAGGGGUAACGAGAGAAAAGCUUGCUUUCCUUGUCGACGACCGGCGCACGGGUGAGUAACGCGUAUCCAACCUACCCCAACUAGGGAAUAACCUUGCGAAAGUAAGACUAAUACCCUAUAAUUUCCUCAGAUGCCAUCUGACGAGGAAUAAAGAUUUAUCGGUUGUGGAUGGGGAGGCGUCUGAUUAGCUUGUUGGCGGGGUAACGGCCCACCAAGGCAACGAUCAGUAGGGGUUCUGAGAGGAAGGUCCCCCACAUUGGAACUGAGACACGGUCCAAACUCCUACGGGAGGCAGCAGUGAGGAAUAUUGGUCAAUGGGCGGAAGCCUGAACCAGCCAAGUAGCGUGCAGGAUGACGGCCCUAUGGGUUGUAAACUGCUUUUAUACAGGAAUAAAGUUAGCCACGUGUGGUUAUUUGUAGGUACUGUAUGAAUAAGGACCGGCUAAUUCCGUGCCAGCCGCCGCGUAA